This 663-nucleotide long non-coding RNA is filed under the name Equus caballus (horse). RNAcentral describes it as "lncRNA (ENSECAG00000044141.1)". Lineage: Eukaryota; Metazoa; Chordata; Mammalia; Perissodactyla; Equidae. The record is from RNAcentral.
CUUUCUAGGGGGACUGAGGAUCUGGGAAUCCUGGGGACUGAAAACCAGGGGCACUUGGGGGAUGGGGCCUGGGAUGUGAAGAAAAUCUAAGACUUUGACUCAGCAGAGCAGAUUACCGGGGUCUCUAAGGAAAGCUAUGCUCUGUUUAGAGGGUCUCUGAUUUAUAAGGUCGGUGCCUGUCAUUGUCUUCAAGCUAUUUUACAACUUUGUGUUUGUAGAUAACUAAUAGCAAUGUAAAUAAUUCUUUCCUAUAGACCAGAAAAUGAAUUCCAUCCCCUGGAGGUUCAAUUGAUUUCCCUCCCCUAGUUAUGGAAAAAGCCGGUUUUUGUCGGACGGCUUCCACUGAGAUGCCACAGUUCACCUGACAGAGCGGGCUAUUGUCAUUAAAGAGGCUGAUAGCCAAUUUGAGCUGGCAGAAGAAAGAAUCAGCAAAUUUGAAGACAGGUCAAUUGAGAUCAUCCAGUCUGAGGAAGAGAAAAAAAAAAUGAAGAAAAAUGAACAGAGUCUCAGAGUCCUAUGGGACACCAUCAAGCAUACCAAAUAUACACAUAAUGGGAGUCCUAGAAGGAGAGUAUAGAAAGUAGAAGAAAGACUAUUUAAAAAUAAUGGCUGCGGGCCGGCCCUGUGGCCAAGUGAUUAAGUUUGUGUGCUCCCCUUCUGCGG